UGCCCGGCUCCUCUGUGUCCUGGCCCUGGGGACCCUGAGUCAGCACUCCACUCUCAGGCCUGCUGAGGUCUGCCUCCUGCUCUGCCCACCCAAACAAACUGAGCCCACUGGUUCCUGGGCUUUCAGAAGAUGAUGUGAGACCUCCUCGCUAUGCGCAUUGGCCACUCAUGAUGGGUCAGACGGUUUUAGGACCUUCGGGUGCUAAAGUGGCUCUGGGUGCCCUCCUCUCCCAGCUACCUCAAGAGCCCUGAAUCACUCUGCACCGUGUGUGACUGGAGACCCGUCUUUGUUUCUUUGCCUGUCGCUGUGAGGAAACACCCUGACGAAAGCAGGUCAAGGGAGGAAGAGUUUACUCUGGCUCCACGUUCAAGGGUGAAGUUCAUUGUGACCAGGAAGUCUGAGGGCAUGCCCAUCUCCCAGGUCAAAUUCUCGACGGUGUCGCGUUGACAAUCCACACCAACACCACAGGAACCCAGACUUAUUUCUCAGCUGGAACCAACUGAAGCCGCUGAAGAGUUUGCAGACUGAGCCUGGGAGUGGGGAGGGGUAGGGUCUGUGGGAGUCCUAGCCUCAUACAGCCCAUCCGGAACUCCGUCUGUUGAAUCGUCACCUCUUCUGAAGACACCUACCCCCAUCACAGGCCUAAGCAAACACGGAGAUGAACAAAAUGCCGCCGGGAGAGCCUCUGUCGCAGCAGGCAGCGCCCGGAGGGUGCAGUCGGGGCUCUUUCUGUUCUUCUGUCCCAGUCUCAUGCUCCCUGUAUGUCCCUCCUAUUCUCUCUUGAGCCCGGUCUCUUG
This is a long non-coding RNA of Peromyscus californicus insignis, 797 nucleotides long. RefSeq lists it as uncharacterized. The record is from RefSeq and is a predicted model, not a curated record. The transcript has 3 exons. NCBI's taxonomy places the organism in Eukaryota, Metazoa, Chordata, Mammalia, Rodentia, Cricetidae.